AGUGUUUUCACAGUGCGUUUACAAGUCAGCGUUGGUUAAUCCAAUAAACACAUAGACUUGACCAUAUGGCACACGAAGCUAAUGUUAGCUCAAGUAGGUUAACGAAAAAACUACAGCAAGU
Thalassophryne amazonica is the source of this 121-nucleotide long non-coding RNA. RefSeq lists it as uncharacterized. The transcript has 3 exons. NCBI's taxonomy places the organism in Eukaryota, Metazoa, Chordata, Actinopteri, Batrachoidiformes, Batrachoididae. The record is from RefSeq and is a predicted model, not a curated record.